This 490-nucleotide ribosomal RNA is filed under the name uncultured bacterium. RNAcentral's name for it is "partial 16S ribosomal RNA". It matches the Rfam family "Bacterial small subunit ribosomal RNA", at positions 30 to 507 of the family's 1533-position model. The record is from RNAcentral.
AUUGAACGCUGGCGGCAUGCUUUAUACAUGCAAGUCGAACGGCAGCGGGGUAGUGCUUGCACUACUGCCGGCGAGUGGCGAACGGGUGAGUAAUAUAUCGGAACGUACCGAGUAAUGGGGGAUAACCAAUCGAAAGAUUGGCUAAUACCGCAUACGUCCUGAGGGAGAAAGCGGGGGAUCGCAAGACCUCGCGUUAUUCGAGCGGCCGAUAACUGAUUAGCUAGUUGGUGGGGUAAAGGCCUACCAAGGCGACGAUCAGUAGCGGGUCUGAGAGGACGAUCCGCCACACUGGGACUGAGACACGGCCCAGACUCCUACGGGAGGCAGCAGUGGGGAAUUUUGGACAAUGGGGGCAACCCUGAUCCAGCCAUGCCGCGUGUAUGAAGAAGGCCUUCGGGUUGUAAAGUACUUUUGUUAGGGAAGAAAAGGGAAGUGCUAAUACCACUUUUUGCUGACGGUACCUAAAGAAUAAGCACCGGCUAACUACAUG